RNAcentral lists this ribosomal RNA (250 nucleotides) under uncultured bacterium. Its description in RNAcentral is "partial 16S ribosomal RNA". It matches the Rfam family "Bacterial small subunit ribosomal RNA", at positions 524 to 773 of the family's 1533-position model. The record is from RNAcentral.
UACAGAGGGUGCGAGCGUUGUCCGGAAUCACUGGGCGUAAAGGGCGCGUAGGCGGCCCGGUAAGUAGGGGGUGAAAUCCCGCGGCUCAACUGCGGGGCUGCCUCCUAAACUGCCGGGCUCGAGCACGGUAGAGGCUGGUGGAAUUCCCGGUGUAGCGGUGGAAUGCGUAGAGAUCGGGAAGAACAUCGGUGGCGAAGGCGGCCAGCUGGGCCGUUGCUGACGCUGAUGCGCGACAGCGUGGGGAGCAAAC